GAGUUUGAUCGUGGCUCAGAUUGAACGCUGGCGGCAUGCCUUACACAUGCAAGUCGAACGGCAGCAUGAUCUAGCUUGCUAGAUUGAUGGCGAGUGGCGAACGGGUGAGUAAUACAUCGGAACGUGCCCUGUAGUGGGGAUAACUAGUCGAAAGAUUAGCUAAUACCGCAUACGACCUGAGGGUGAAAGUGGGGGACCGCAAGGCCUCAUGCUAUAGGAGCGGCCGAUGUCUGAUUAGCUAGUUGGUGGGGUAAAGGCCCGACCAAGGCGACGAUCAGUAGCUGGUCUGAGAGGACGAUCAGCCACACUGGGACUGAGACACGGCCCAGACUCCUACGGGAGGCAGCAGUGGGGAAUUUUGGACAAUGGGCGAAAGCCUGAUCCAGCAAUGCCGCGUGUGUGAAGAAGGCC
Molecule: ribosomal RNA, 411 nt
Filed under: uncultured microorganism
Description: bacterial SSU rRNA
Rfam family: Bacterial small subunit ribosomal RNA
Source: RNAcentral